RNAcentral lists this microRNA (21 nucleotides) under Heligmosomoides polygyrus. Its description in RNAcentral is "hpo-miR-10094-3p". The record is from miRBase by way of RNAcentral. Lineage: Eukaryota; Metazoa; Nematoda; Chromadorea; Rhabditida; Heligmosomidae.
UGAACCCAGUAUAGUCUAUGA